RNAcentral lists this ribosomal RNA (465 nucleotides) under uncultured bacterium. RNAcentral describes it as "partial 16S ribosomal RNA". It matches the Rfam family "Bacterial small subunit ribosomal RNA", at positions 338 to 795 of the family's 1533-position model. The record is from RNAcentral.
CAUACGGGAGGCAGCAGUGAGGAAUAUUGGUCAAUGGGCGCGAGCCUGAACCAGCCAAGUAGCGUGAAGGAUGACUGCCCUACGGGUUGUAAACUUCUUUUAUAAAGGAAUAAAGUGCGUGAGAGUAACUGUUCACGUUUCGACGGUAUCUAACCAGAAAGCCACGGCUAACUACGUGCCAGCAGCCGCGGUAAUACGUAGGUGGCAAGCGUUAUCCGGAUUUAUUGGGUUUAAAGGGUGCGUAGGCGGAAUGCCAAGUCAGCGGUAAAAUCGCGGGGCUCAACCUCGCUCCGCCGUUGAAACUGGCGUUCUUGAGUGGGCGAGAAGUAUGCGGAAUGCGUGGUGUAGCGGUGAAAUGCAUAGAUAUCACGCAGAACUCCGAUUGCGAAGGCAGCAUACCGGCGCCCAACUGACGCUGAAGCACGAAAGCGUGGGUAUCGAACAGGAUUAGAUACCCCGGUAGUC